GUAUAGCCGUGAUGGAAACGGUAUCUUAUUUUUUGUUGUACUUCGACAGGCUCAGUAUGACAAAAAAUAAAUAAAGUGGACAGCACGAUAACUG
This 94-nucleotide small RNA is filed under the name Flavobacterium haoranii. Its description in RNAcentral is "Flavobacterium sp. LQY-7 Flavo-1 RNA". It matches the Rfam family "Flavo-1 RNA". Lineage: Bacteria; Pseudomonadati; Bacteroidota; Flavobacteriia; Flavobacteriales; Flavobacteriaceae. The record is from Rfam by way of RNAcentral.